CGGCGCGCGGGGGGGCGGGGGCGCGCGCCUGGCGGGACGGCCCAUCCCCGUCCCGCCGGGGGAAGGCGUUAAGGAGGACCGGCGGCUCCUUCCCGCUUUUCCAGCCGGCGAGGGACAGCUCCGACGAGACCGCGGCUGCCCCGCACGGCCCGGCCAAAACAACGAGACCGAGAGCCGGCGCUACGCCGUUUCGAAAGUGAGCCCCCACCCCUUGUCACGCACCCUCUUGUCUACCCCCUUUCCCUCGGCCGCGUUGGUACGAUCCUGCCCGACGCGCCUCAGAGCCGGACAGGCAGGGAAGUGGUACGGCCGGCGGGGGGGGGGGUGCGAGCGCCGCGGUGCGCACGUUACAGGGGACGCGCUCGGGCUGUGCCGGGCGGCGCUCUCUCCUUCCCCCCUCCGCUCAGCGCCGCCGUUGGUUGCAGCCGGGCAGCCCGCGCGGGCGGCCGGGCGGGGCGGGGCGGGAGGCGCGGCAGGGGAGCGGGGGCGGGGGCGGCGUUCUGUGCUCGCCUGGCCCGGCCCGUCCGUGAGGGGACCGGCGGUCGGGAAGCGCCGGAGGAGGUGCCGCUGCCGCUGAGACGCUCCUGCCACGUGCGAUGCAAGAGGAUGGUGCCAGACUCUUUUCAUUGGUGCCCAGCGACAGGAUGAGGAGCAGUGGCCCUAAAAUAAAACACAAGAAGUUCCAUCUCAACGUGAGGAAGAACUUCUUUACGCUGAGGCUGGCAGCGCACUGGAACAGGCUGCCCGGGGAGGCCGUGGGGUCUCCCGCUCUGGAGACAUUCCAAACCCACCUGGACGCGUUCCUGUGUCACCUGCUGUCGGUGACCCCGCCUUGGCAGGGGGUUGGACUGGAUGAUCCCCAGCUCGCUGACCGGGGGCUGCUUUUCCCUGCCGAGCUGAGCGGCCGCAGGGAGUGGGAGCGAAACGAAGCAAGGAAAAGCAGCUCCUGCUGCAAUUUUGAAUAUAAAUGGCAGACGCUGGCAGUGCUGAAACCAGCCUUGGUUUGUUUCAGUGCAGCCACUGGAGGGAAUCUCGGUUUUGCCAAAGAGCCUCAUGAGCAAGUUUGCAAAGUCUAAGACAAUUCUUUAGAAGAAUGAGGAGUUUCAUAGGGUAGAGGGUACAGGGACGUUGAAAGACCCCAGCUAAAGCAUUUUAAACCUGCUUUUUCCUGAUCACAUGCCCUGCUUAGCCACACUGUAGGCUGUGGGUAGAAUUCCCUGCCUUUUGCAGACUGAUCCCUGCUCUUGUGGCUGGCAGAGGUGUGUGCUGCUGUGGCUGACAGGACACUCACUACUCGAUGACAGGACACUACAACACAAAACGUGCAUCUUGGUCCUUACUCGGUGCAUUGCUUGCUCUAUUCCUCAGCUGUUGCUGGCUGAAGGCCCUGGCUCUUCCCUGCAGCCCUAGCCAGCCCUUUGGGUUACAGCACACAUUUGUCAGUGGCAUCCAUGGCCACCCCGUGGCUGUACAGCUGCUUCCCAACUGGCACGCUCUCUCCUCAGACUGUUCCUAGGCUGGCUCCUUUCCCCAGCCCCAUGAAGAUUACUCUUCCUGGCUCUGCUGUCCAAGGGUGUACUGCAGCUGCCCAUCACCCCCUGCUUUUUUCCCUUGACAACCAGUUCCCAGGCUGCUGGCUCCAAGCUGUUCUUGCAUUCCUACAGCAUCAGGCUCUCCAAGGGCCCACUGCCUGGGCCUUAUGCUCUCUGUUACCAGAAUGGCACUUCUGCCCUGUCUCUUCAGAUUAAACAGGACCUUGAGUUGAUGUGAUGCUAAUCUGGCUUGCUUUUCUCUCUAGGAGUUGUCUCUGGCCCAAUCCUGACACUGUAGGUCAUGCUAAGGAGGAGCAAUGCCAGCGUGUCCAUUAGGCUGAUUGUAUUUCUGACGACUUCACUCAUCACCAUGGUAUCGGGAUACAUUUUUUUGGACUAUUUUGGUCCAUUUCUUCUGUCUCCCACACACUUUAUCAUCAUCACUAUAAUACUUGUAGGAAACCAAAAACGGAAAAAAGGGUUGAGGAAACCUGUUUUUUCUAGAGUUGAUAUGCUUCAUGGUGAUUCAUGGUUAUUUUUGUAUGAUCUUGGAGUGAACUCAUAGGGUAACUGUUCUAAUAUCUCUGUGUUCCAAAGGAUACGUUUUCUAGUUACUACAAACUGCAAUGAAGAAUCCUAGGAAUGAAGAAUGCAUGAUGGCCAUGGCCAAAUCAGCAGGUAAUCAGAAGGUACCAUCUCCUAGGCAGUUACUAACAGAAUUCUGAGGACUUAUUUUUUUGGCAGAAGCAUGUACUUGGCCCUGGAGAACUGGUGAUGUGUCUGAAAGUGUCCCAAGGCUACAGGCAUCUCCAGCAACUGGAGAGCAAACAUGUUCCCCUGAAGUACACUGAACACUGGGAAUGCCACAAAAUGUUUUUCUGUUUCCACAAGUAUGACAUCUAGAUGUCAUUCACUGGUUACCCAAGCACUGUACAUAAAAUAUUGUGCACUGGGGUAUCUCGGUGAUCACGGUGUUUGGGACAAUGUGGGUUACAUGCCAGCCACAUAGAUACUUCUUUUAGGAUCUGAAUGUUCCAUUCUCUUCUUCCACAUUUUCAGGUUUGUUUUGAGUAGAGGAAAAAAAAAUACAUUUGUGGGAUGCCACAGUUCAGGAACCUUAAAAUUAAAGUAGUAAUUUCCCAUUGUAUUUUCCCAAAUGAUCCAAAUUAAAUACACACAAUUGUUUAGUAAAUUCCCAUUUCUAUGCAAAAUACAGGAGAGCAGUGUUUGGAAUUUAAGUGUGUCAGUUUUUAGAGGGAAGAUAUAAGAUCAUUCAUUCAUAGUAACUAAAACCAUCUCCUUUGCCUUAAGUGUGUCUGAGGAUUAAGUUAAAUCGAUUUAUUCCCAUUUGUGAUAUUCUUUCAUUCAUAUGUGUAACGUUUUGGACUUCCACAUUCCUAAAUGGCAACAGAUCUAAAGAAACACUGAAAAAAAGGAAUCUGCAGCUCUGGUUUUUUUACCAUGCAAAGGGAAAUUCACAUUCAAAAUCAACAUUUAAAUAAUGGCACAGAUGCAUACAAGCAGGGAAAUAGAUAGCUACAAUGGAAAUGUGCCACAUGUCUCAGAACACAUAACCACAACAGGGUGUCUCUUUUAUGACUUCCUUAAUGCACUGCAAUAUGCCUAGAUAUCAAAGGACAUAUGGUAUAUUUUCCCAUUAAUUGCACAUUUCUUCGCUCUUGUGAGUUACUCAUAACCUUAACAUUAUUUAAUUGUAAUUUAGAUGCGUAAAUCUCGACCACCAAAAAGAGUUUCAAAUGCAAACAUGUUUCAGUCAGAUCUUUCUUCCAACUCUUAUUCCAACUUUUGUCAAUGUUGUCUUUUGUUUGGUUGAUGUGCAUUUGAAUAUGUCAUACUUUUGGAGAGAGAAGAACGCAGACAGAGGAAGAUCAGUCCUUUUCUGAAAGAUUUUUUUCCCAUAUUUUCCAACUCAUAUUUCUUGGUAACAAAUUGUUUUCUGCCACUUUUAUUAUCUGAGUUUGCAUAAAGUCAUGGACAUUCCCAUUCACAAGCAGGAAAAUACAGAAUUCUGCUUCAUCAACGUUUUCAAAUGUACAUUUAAAAUUUAAAAAUUUCAAACUUAGUAUUUAUGAAGGUAUAUACACAGGAAAGAGGACAGCGAAGAAUUUUGUAGUACAACCACCUGUUUAAAGACCUUCUUGGCUAAAGGUUUCUGUAUGAAAGUUAAGAAUGAUUCUCAAGAGUCAGGCAUUUCUUAGACAAAGCCUUUAACAGUUCUUUUGGUGACAGGACCUCAUUUCGUGCAUUCACUUCAAAUGACUAAACCCCACCCUCUUUUGUUACUGUAGUAAGUAUGAUAGCUCAGAAUUCACUGCUAAUAGGGUGACAGUGAAUUUGAGCUUCCUUUUCAGGGUAGACAGCUUUUUUGUCUUGCAAUUAAAAAAAAAAGGGUGUGUUUAUGCACGUGUUAUGUAGCAUCAGCAAUGCCCUCAGGUAACAGAGCAGAUCCCAAGGAAGAAGUGUCUUUCCUUAGAUUGAAAAGGAAGAUAGCAAAAGGAAAAAAUGCCAUUUUUGGUGUAGUAUUUCUUCACUAACUGGACUUGGUGAUCUCAUAACUUUUCUGGGAUUUCCUACAUGCCCAGUCUCUGUGUUAAUUCAUCUUGUUGCAAAAUGGAGCUUGCACCUGAAGGUCUGCCUGUGUAAAUGGCUGAUGUUCCAAUUCUAUUUAUUUAAAAAACAGUAAUUUGUUAUUAAAAUACACAGCAGUUUCAGAGUGGGGUUUAGGGUAAAUGGUGCUUCUUGCUUCCUAAAAGGGAUCACACUAACAGGAUACAUUUGUCUUGAAUUUAUUCUGCCAGGUUCUUGUCUGGUUUUUUUCUCCCAAUUUUGUUGUUUCUAUUCUGCACUGGCUAUUGUAUUGAGUAUUAAUAAGAAGUAGCACCUGAAAUGCAAGCCUGUGUGUUCUAGUGUAAAACGAAGUACCAAGCAGCACUGCACACUACAAGGAUAUUUGCUGGCUUUGCCAUAUUCCAGAGGGGCAGUAACAAACCCAGAAAAAAAUCAUUGGGAUGCUAAAUUUUUAUUCUACUACCUGUUGUUUGAGUCUGCAAGUAUAAAUAUUUAGAGUAAAGAAGCUCAGAGCGGGUUCAGCAGUUUGCAGUAAUGGGAGUAAGUUCAACAUCUGAGGUGAGAAAAUCUUUCCAUGUCCUGAUUUUAUUCUUCAAAAGGGAAUCUUCAGCUACUUGGAACAUAUGCUAUAAAUAAAAAAUAGCAGAACAUCUAAUCUAAGCCUCCUUAGCGCUGAAAAUUCUUUAAGUAUUCUUAGAGGUUAAUAUUUUAUUUUAGGACACAGAAGCAAAGUGCUACAGUUCACUAACUUCCUCAAUUUUUGAAUGCUCAAAGCAAAGCAGAAAAGACAAAUAUGAGAAGGCACUGCCAAGCUGUGCUGAAGAAAAGGUAGCAGUGAUCUUGAUGAUCACUGAACUUCCAGAUCUGUUAAAAGGCAACACAUUUGCAGUGCAGAGGCACACUGUUGUUCUGGGGACUCUCACUUGUGCAUCAUCUGCAUAAUCUCCAGCCUUCUGAAGACUCAUGACCAUGAAGGACAGAGGAGACGACUGAACUACUACAGGGCAGUACUAUCACCCUCUCACAAUUCCAGUCAACAACUUCCUGAGGGAUUAUAGAAAGUACAAAUUAUAUCACAUGCAAUUUCCUUUCAGAGACCCUGAUGUCAUAAAGUAAAAAAGACCCCCCUCAUUCUGCUGGGAGUGCUCUUUCCAGUGCUGCCCAGGAUGCUCUUGGCCCUUGCGGCAAGGGCACAUUGCUGGCUCACAUUCACCUUGUCCAGCAAGAUUUCCAGGUACUUUUUGCAAAGCUGCUUUGAGCAGUCACGUGAGCUGGUGAAUGGAGUUGUUACUCCUCAGGUACAGGGCUUUUUGCUCUUCCCUUUGUUAAACUUCAUGAGCUUCAUGUCUGCCUAUUUCUUCAAGCUGUUGAGGUCCUCUGAAAGACAUACACCACUUGGUGUAGGCAACAUCUCCUCCCACUCUUGGAACAUCUGCAAACUUGCUGAGGUUCCAAUUCUCUGCUGUCAUCCAGAUCAGUAAUGAAGAAGUUAAACAGUAUUGGCCCCAGUAUUGACCUCCGAGAUAUAUCACUAUUGACUAGUCCCUAGCUGGACUUCAUACUGUUGGCCACAACCCUGUUAGACUGGCAGUUCAGCUAAUUCUCAGUACACCUCACUGUACACUUAUUUAAUCUGUAUUUCAUCAGUUUGCCUAUGAGACUGUUUUGAGAGAUACUGUCUAAAGCCUUAAAUAAGGUUGGGAUUAGUAAAAUAUCCCCUCUCUGCAUGCUCGGUGUCUCUGUAUUCCACCAGAUCCCCUGUCCCUGCUUCCACCUGUGGUACACUUGAUUUUUAUGUUUGGGUUUUGUCAGGAGCUCCUUGCUUGUGUUCAUCCGUGCAGGCCUCCUUGCAUUUAUGCACAGGUGUUUCUUUUCAAGUAGGAGAAAAAAGGAGGGGAAGGAAAUGCUUCGUGUGAGUGCGGUCUGUAAGAAGAGGGUCCUCAAAGUAGAGGAGGUCUGCUGUGAAAAAAAGGAGACUGCAUCCACAGGGAGAAGUCUGGUCUGUAGGGAUGAUGGCUGCUGGAGCAUCUCUCUUUCCCUGCUGUGCCACUGAGGAAAGCAGCAUCUUGUCAUCAGGGACAAGCCUCUUGGAUAGCAGAAAUUGCUCUGUACUAGUUGCAAUGGCAAUAGGCAGACUGCAAGAGACAAGAAAGGCAAACCUAGAGAUCAAAUUCAUCAAAACAAGACAGGAUGAUAUUGGAAAUAUUCCUGGACACCUGGAAGACAACUUUGGGCUUAGAUCUGCACAGCCUUCCUCCUCCUCUGCCCUAGAUGCUACCUUUUGACAUGUCUGUUUCAUAAAUGAAACCCCUGUUCCAUACAUCUAUAAGCCAACACUUUCAAACACUUGCCUCCACAAAGAAUAUUUCCCUUCAGACGAGGACUGAAUGAAGGCAGAACUGCAUGGAAACUCAGCAUAUUGUAAGUGAAACAGCCUAGAGCAUUCAUCUCAUAUCUCAUCUCGUGUCAUCUCAUCGUAUAGUUCCAUGUGACCACUAAACUGGCUGGUCAUGGCUAGUUGCCACUAGCAAGGCAAAGGUCUUACCCUAAACCACUAGUUGCAAGGCAAAGGUCUUACCCUAGGCUGUGCUCUUCCAUUGUCAUUUUUGUGUUGGCAUUGCUGCCUGGCUGGGUUGAGGUAAACCAGGAUGGAAGCUCUGCAGGCCAGAGAUAAGCCAAGAAGAGAAGAUUUCUUGCAAUGUCUCACCCAGGCCAGGUGAGAGCCAGCAGAGCCUCAGAGGAAGCAAUUCAAAGAGGAAAGCCACAGUAGCACUGAUUUAGAUCAGUCUAAAUCCCCAUACUCUAGUGUGUGCUUUCUGAGUCUGCCACUUCCUUCUCCUGCUUCUGCUCUGUCCUAGGCACUGCUAUCUCUCCCCCAGUGCUCCUUCUGAGGCUGCUUUGGAGCUCUUGUGAGUCAAUUCAGCUCACCAACCUCACAGAAAAAAAACCCUCUUCAUUUGCUUGUUGGUUUGAUUCAAUGUGUGAAUCCCAUAACUCUGUGAGGGAAAGGAGGAGUGAAGGAAGAAGUUGGAGGAGGAGAUGGAACUGUCCUUUUUUGAUGGUCAAACCAUUAUUGCCACCCACUGAGGGUGCAAUUUGAUGUUACACCUAACCAAUCCAGCCAUGCAAGGUGCAACUGAAGAUAACAGUGCUAAAGUCACUGAUCUGAUGUAAAGUGAACUCUUUUCUUUGUUGAGUUGCCACAAAGCUGAGUGAUUGCUAAAUCCAGUUCAGGGGAAGCUGCAGGAAUGUCUGUGUGGAACUUUUUGGGAAGAACAGAACUGUUGUAUUUUGUGGCAAUCUCCACUUAGGUUGUGCUAUCAGGAUGUUAAACUGUCCUCUUUGCAUGCUUUCGGAAGGGAUAAAAACAAAACUCAGCUUUUCAAAAAAAAAUUUACUUUUGAGUUGGGUCAACACAGUGAUCUGACUUAACAGCUGCAAAACAGUUCAUCCUAAACCAGAGAGAGAAUGAAAAGAUAAAGUGAGGGGCAGGAGAUAGGAGAAUCUCUUUUUUGAUAGCAGCGUGCUCUUACAUUGGCUGAUGCUGAACAUGGAACUGCUCCCCAAGAAAGGGAGUCCAAGUGACUGAAGAAAUUUUCAGCUUUUUGUAGUAAACAGCUCAUCAAAAUGAUCUAACUUUAAAAAAUUCAUUAUCUUUUACUUUUACAAACUGUUUUCACUGGCCUCACAAGCAGAUGACUUUGUGGGAGAAUGGUAGAAUUAAGAACUGCACCAGAGAGUGAUUGACUAUGAAAUUGGGAAGUAAGGAACUUAGCUGGCUUGACCAUCAGGAAAGUUGUAAUGUGGUAUUAUGCUUUGGAUUUUCUACAGUAGCUUGUAAUGAAGAAGAAUAAAGAUGUACCUCAGCAACCGUCUCUUUUUACACACUAUUAAGGAGCUGUAGCCCCAUUUCCUGCUACUGUGGGGUGGUGAGAGUGGUACACUAGGGAAGAGGGUGCUUCUCAUAUGUGUUUUUGGAGCAGCCAAAUCCAUAUUUAAUUCUGCAAGUUAACUUUCUGUAAACUUAAAAACUGUUAUGGCCUGAAACUGACUUAAAAUUGAUAUUUCUCAGAAGAAGGUUACUCCUGUGUGCUGUUAUGAAUUUGUCUCUGUCUUCAUCUACAUUGCUUCUUCAGCAGUUUCUGACUUCAAAAAAAAGUUGCAAUGGUUUGCUUCUUUUUAAAUUUGUUGAAUUUGUUGCUAGUUAAUGAAAGAGUCUUUGUGAUUACUUUAUCACCAUCAUUAUACAGACUUGGCUGCUGGUGCCAGAAUGGUGAUUAACAGCGCCAUAAACUGACUCUUGAGGGUCCAGCCACAGUAGAAUAUAUCACACACUGCUUUGCAACUUUAGCAGAUAAGUGGUUUGACACUUGUAGGUUCCUGCUUAAAAGUGUCAGACAAUCCUCAGUAUUGACAACAAACUGGUAGUUCUUAACUAUUAUAUAUAAAAAAAAAAAUGAAGGUAGGUUACAAGGUUUUUUUGCAUUUCUUAAAUUAAUAUCACCAUUUUUCACAAAAAGAAAAAUCAUCCUUAUGAGCUCUUUUAUUUUAAGGAGCAUCAGCAAACAUAACUGUUCUACAUAUGUAUAGAUCUGUGAAGAACUUUAUUGUAUAAUUUGAAAAUAAUAAAGGAGAGAGACCAAACAAUGUUACUGUAUAAAAGAAUUGGGAUAAAAAUAUAAAGUUAAAAAGAAGACAGCAAUAACAUCCCUUACAGAAGAGAGCAAUGUGAAAGACCAAAUUGAAUGUAAAAUUCACAGAUGCAGUUUCUUGUUUUCAAAGACUAUCAGAACACCUGUGAGCAGGCUGAUUGAUUGCAACCAGCUGAGGUGUUCCUUCAAAUCUGUUCACAACUGUGCCUGAGAUCAUGUUAAACGAUGAUAUGAUUCAGCCUUAAUUUCUGUAGUUUGUGUGGUUUUAACAGGGAGUAGUUUCUUCACAGUGAAGCUUGUUUUACCUCAGUUACGUGUGCAUUACUUGAAUGGAGUUGUGCAGUUAGAACACUGACCACAGACUAACUUCUAAAGGUUGGAAAUAAGCUCUAUGAUGCAUUGGAAAUGAAGAGCUUUUUCAGUCUUCUGUUUUGCUUGUAUUGAGUCAGUAAAUUUCAUAAUUUUCUGGGAUGCCAAAACUGGUCAGUUUUCCCAGAGUGCUGCACGCAAAGCCAAUGGCUAUAGACCUUUUGGUAUAUCUGCCUUGACUGUGGGCUUUGAUAGCAGUGGGAGUCCUGAACUGCGCCAAACAGAUCCAUCUGGUACCUACCAGUCUUGGAAAGUAUGUGUCAAUUUAAUAUAUCUCGUAUUGUCUGCAAGUAUCUAAGUGUUGUAUGUAAGUACUGCAUGUAUGGACUGCAUCCAGAGUUAAUUUUAUGCAUUAAAAGUCAGUGCAUGUCUUGGACAUUGAUGUUGAAUUCUGAACUGUACAUCAACAGGAUCAGGAGGAAGGUUCCAGGUAACUCACUGAAUUAUACUUUGUUUUGGAAAUGAACUUGUAAUAAACUAUAGCAAAAAUACAGAAAUAGAUGUAAAAGUUUUACAAAGGCUUAAUAUUUGCUGCAAGAAAUGGUAGCCUAUUCAUACAGAAAAAAAAAUUGUCUGAAGUGUAUCUUGUGUUUCUUUGUAAUUCUUUUGUUCACUUGUUGCUUUUAAUAGAAAUUUUCUGUAAAAAUACUUAAAACUCACAAAUGAUCUGUGUUUGAAAGAACACAAACUGAAACUAGGGCAUUAUUGGAGUUUUUGUACCAGAGAAUUUUAACUCAUACAGACUGAUCACAAGCUUUUGUAAUUGACUCAAGUAAAUUGGAACAAGUAUGGUGAACCCUUCUGUGCAUCAUUUUAGAAGCUCUCUCUAUCAGCAUUGCAACUGGAAGCGGUAGCAAGAAAGUAAUCUGGAUGAUUAUAUUUAGGCUUCCAUUCUAAUUGAAGGGAAACUGUUGAAUAUGAUGAUUGUUCAUGGAGGCAAUGAUCAAGAGGAGUAUUAUUGUUUAUAAUCCUGCAGACAGGUAGAGGCAGGGUCGAGGAAGUCCUCUGGCUAAAGGCACAGUCACACCUGAUAGCAGCUGGUGUUGUCCAUGCUUUGUACUCAGUCCAUCAAAUAUUUACCACUAGAAGUUACUGGAGUAAUUUCACUGCCGAGUUUGUGCUCAGUGAAUUCUGGAAGCUCUCACAGUACCUCUUAAUUAGUGACCAAAACUGCUGAAGACCAUUUUUUUGUCCUCAAGAUCAUGUUCGUACUAGACUCUCCUUGCCUCCAGAAUGUACCAGCUGUGCCCUGGCUGCCUGCUCGUGGUGUGUGCCAGAGACCAUUGCAGCAAUAGCAAUGACCAUGCUCCAGUGUCUGGACACAUACACUGAUUACCUUUUCAUUCUGGCAUAGGUGUAGUUAAGGCAGCUGGAAGCUGCUGCAGUGGAUUGAGCUCUCCAGUGCAGACAGGAGCAGUGUCCACCUUCACUGCUCAGAAGGCUUUCCAUUAAUUCUCUUUGAUAAGUAUCUUCCAGACUUAAUAGAAGAGGAGGGGGGAAGAUAGAAUGUCAGCAUGUUUUGUAAUUGCUUCCAUACUUUGGUUAUGAGUAAACUGGAAGAAUUUUUCUGUAGAAUCGACUAAAACUUCCCCAGACCUAUAAGUGUACGUGCCUUGGUGAAGGCAAAACAUUGGCUUUGAGGCAAAGAACUGAAGGGCAUAAGAAUCCUUUAAAGUCUUACGCUAGUUUUAUUUAUGUUCUGUGCAUUUUGUGAAUUUCUCUCUGUCCACUAAUGAAAUAAAAUAUCCAAAGAGAAAGUCGAAUAGUGAUUAUCAUUUCUGUAUUCACUAAUCUUUGUUUCCAAGUGGGUAGUUUUAUUAUAUAAGUACUUCUCAUUACUGUGUUGCUACUGUAAAUGCUAGUUUUAUCAAUUUGAUACUUUUGCCAUUUUUCUUACACCUCUUAAUGCUAUUGAUGGCUUUAGCGUAGCUGCUAGAACUGACAAGUAAGUAAACACUUUGUGUUGUCUCUAUUUAAGAAUCUUUGAGGGGAAAGGUGCCUUUUAGAUAAUUUGUCAGGUAAUAACCAUUCUUGCUGUUAGCAUUAUCUCCCUCCCAAUUCCCUUUUGCUCUGAGAUUUGGGUUCUUAACUUGGAGGUUAUGGACGAAAGGUAAUGAGAAAGCCUAAUUCCUUCUUUCCUCCUUUCUUAAUUGUUGUGUGUUUGUGUGUUUUUAUUUUUCCCAAGGUGAGCAUAGAGUAGCAAAGUUACUGAUGCAAGAGGUAGUGUUUAACUUUGCAGUCUUCUACUGUGCUAUACCGUGAUGUGCCCAUCACACCGUCUUGGUUUCCUGUCCUGCUGGGUCUUGCCUGUAUUUGUCUCUUACUCCCUAGUUUUUGCCUCAAGAGUGUAGUUAAUUGGACUAUGUUUCGUGUUCUCUGCUUGAUUUCCAAAAGACAGAAAGUAGGGAAGCCCUUCUCACAGUCUGCUUUUCCCAUCCUCUGAAUUUCUUUCAUCUCUAAUGAACUUGGACCAAAGCACAGACCACUGUUCUUCAGAGCUACCAUAAUAUUUCAAAGGUGGGAAAGAGUUCUGGAGCAUGCAGAUAGAUGUUGAGUAGAUUGAGCAAUGAGCAUGUAAAAAGCUGAAGACUUACAGAAUCUAACAACUGGUUUACUAAAAAAAAAAAGAAAGUAUUGUAAACAUGAAAAGAAAAACAAUUUUCUGAAUAUACUUUUUUUUCCCACUGUAAACAGUGUAGGACACCUUUCUUGCCAUUCUCAUUUUAAUUUCGAGAAAAUGCUGAUGGGACCUUGUUUGCAGGAUUGGCAGAGGUGUGUUGGCAGUUGGACCACCAGGGAUACUGUUAGCUGACCGAGUCAUGGCACAUGAUCAUAAUCAGCUCUUCAGUAAACCCAGAUGAAGCUUCUGCCCACCUUCUGCAUCUCUUUUAAAUGAACAAAUGCUACUGAUUUUUGUUAGUAUUAUUACAUUAGAAUAAGUUUUUUUUAUCAUUACACUUCAGAGAGGGAAAGAUAAUCCUUGAGCCACUACAAAUAUUUAUUCUCUAGAUAUUCAAGAAAAGACAAUGCAGCACUAGAAGCCAGUCUUGCAUCCCACACCAUGUGGACGCUCUUCAAUUCACCAGGGAGUUGAUAGCAAUUUUGAUGCCAAUGAAACUGAAAAAAAUUUUGAAUUCCAUUUGAGAGAAACCCUGUGCAUGGCUUUUUUUUCUUCUUUGACCUAAAGAAAUAGGUGCCAAACUUUGGCAUUCUUCCAAACAGUACUUCUUGAUUCCCUCCCCCCCCCCCCC
Molecule: long non-coding RNA, 12393 nt
Organism: Pseudopipra pipra
Lineage: Eukaryota; Metazoa; Chordata; Aves; Passeriformes; Pipridae
Exons: 2
Source: RefSeq, a predicted model, not a curated record